RNAcentral lists this ribosomal RNA (1808 nucleotides) under Pseudomonas aeruginosa. RNAcentral describes it as "bacterial LSU rRNA". It matches the Rfam family "Bacterial large subunit ribosomal RNA", at positions 743 to 2536 of the family's 2925-position model. Lineage: Bacteria; Pseudomonadati; Pseudomonadota; Gammaproteobacteria; Pseudomonadales; Pseudomonadaceae. The record is from RNAcentral.
GGUUGAAGGUUAGGUAACACUGACUGGAGGACCGAACCCACUCCCGUUGAAAAGGUAGGGGAUGACUUGUGGAUCGGAGUGAAAGGCUAAUCAAGCUCGGAGAUAGCUGGUUCUCCUCGAAAGCUAUUUAGGUAGCGCCUCAUGUAUCACUCUGGGGGGUAGAGCACUGUUUCGGCUAGGGGGUCAUCCCGACUUACCAAACCGAUGCAAACUCCGAAUACCCAGAAGUGCCGAGCAUGGGAGACACACGGCGGGUGCUAACGUCCGUCGUGAAAAGGGAAACAACCCAGACCGCCAGCUAAGGUCCCAAAGUUGUGGUUAAGUGGUAAACGAUGUGGGAAGGCUUAGACAGCUAGGAGGUUGGCUUAGAAGCAGCCACCCUUUAAAGAAAGCGUAAUAGCUCACUAGUCGAGUCGGCCUGCGCGGAAGAUGUAACGGGGCUCAAACCACACACCGAAGCUGCGGGUGUCACGUAAGUGACGCGGUAGAGGAGCGUUCUGUAAGCCUGUGAAGGUGAGUUGAGAAGCUUGCUGGAGGUAUCAGAAGUGCGAAUGCUGACAUGAGUAACGACAAUGGGUGUGAAAAACACCCACGCCGAAAGACCAAGGGUUCCUGCGCAACGUUAAUCGACGCAGGGUUAGUCGGUUCCUAAGGCGAGGCUGAAAAGCGUAGUCGAUGGGAAACAGGUUAAUAUUCCUGUACUUCUGGUUACUGCGAUGGAGGGACGGAGAAGGCUAGGCCAGCUUGGCGUUGGUUGUCCAAGUUUAAGGUGGUAGGCUGAAAUCUUAGGUAAAUCCGGGGUUUCAAGGCCGAGAGCUGAUGACGAGUCGUCUUUUAGAUGACGAAGUGGUUGAUGCCAUGCUUCCAAGAAAAGCUUCUAAGCUUCAGGUAACCAGGAACCGUACCCCAAACCGACACAGGUGGUCGGGUAGAGAAUACCAAGGCGCUUGAGAGAACUCGGGUGAAGGAACUAGGCAAAAUGGCACCGUAACUUCGGGAGAAGGUGCGCCGGCUAGGGUGAAGGAUUUACUCCAUAAGCUCUGGCUGGUCGAAGAUACCAGGCCGCUGCGACUGUUUAUUAAAAACACAGCACUCUGCAAACACGAAAGUGGACGUAUAGGGUGUGACGCCUGCCCGGUGCCGGAAGGUUAAUUGAUGGGGUUAGCGCAAGCGAAGCUCUUGAUCGAAGCCCCGGUAAACGGCGGCCGUAACUAUAACGGUCCUAAGGUAGCGAAAUUCCUUGUCGGGUAAGUUCCGACCUGCACGAAUGGCGUAACGAUGGCGGCGCUGUCUCCACCCGAGACUCAGUGAAAUUGAAAUCGCUGUGAAGAUGCAGUGUAUCCGCGGCUAGACGGAAAGACCCCGUGAACCUUUACUGUAGCUUUGCACUGGACUUUGAGCCUGCUUGUGUAGGAUAGGUGGGAGGCUUUGAAGCGUGGACGCCAGUUCGCGUGGAGCCAUCCUUGAAAUACCACCCUGGCAUGCUUGAGGUUCUAACUCUGGUCCGUAAUCCGGAUCGAGGACAGUGUAUGGUGGGCAGUUUGACUGGGGCGGUCUCCUCCUAAAGAGUAACGGAGGAGUACGAAGGUGCGCUCAGACCGGUCGGAAAUCGGUCGCAGAGUAUAAAGGCAAAAGCGCGCUUGACUGCGAGACAGACACGUCGAGCAGGUACGAAAGUAGGUCUUAGUGAUCCGGUGGUUCUGUAUGGAAGGGCCAUCGCUCAACGGAUAAAAGGUACUCCGGGGAUAACAGGCUGAUACCGCCCAAGAGUUCAUAUCGACGGCGGUGUUUGGCACCUCGAUGUCGGC